This 191-nucleotide long non-coding RNA is filed under the name Mustela putorius furo (domestic ferret). RNAcentral describes it as "lncRNA (ENSMPUG00000024528.1)". Lineage: Eukaryota; Metazoa; Chordata; Mammalia; Carnivora; Mustelidae. The record is from RNAcentral.
GGGUUCUACAGAUAAAUAUUCUGAUUUGGCAAGUCUGGCGUGAGGUCUUUUUAUUUUCUUUGAAACACAGUUAUCAAAAUGAAAAACCAUUAUGAAAAGCAUCUAUCUUCAUCACUGAACCUCAUGGCAUGUUCAUAUUGCAAGUGAAACAGCUGAAGAAUAAGAACAAUGCCUACAACACCAUUUUCAAG